Molecule: ribosomal RNA, 466 nt
Filed under: uncultured bacterium
Lineage: Bacteria
Description: partial 16S ribosomal RNA
Rfam family: Bacterial small subunit ribosomal RNA
Source: RNAcentral
GACGAACGCUGGCGGCGUGCUUAACACAUGCAAGUCGAACGGAAAGGCCCUGCUUUUGUGGGGUGCUCGAGUGGCGAACGGGUGAGUAACACGUGAGUAACCUGCCCUUGACUUUGGGAUAACUUCAGGAAACUGGGGCUAAUACCGGAUAGGAGCUCCUGCUGCAUGGUGGGGGUUGGAAAGUUUCGGCGGUUGGGGAUGGACUCGCGGCUUAUCAGCUUGUUGGUGGGGUAGUGGCUUAUCAAGGCUUUGACGGGUAGCCGGCCUGAGAGGGUGACCGGCCACAUUGGGACUGAGAUACGGCCCAGACUCCUACGGGAGGCAGCAGUGGGGAAUAUUGCACAAUGGGCGGAAGCCUGAUGCAGCAACGCCGCGUGCGGGAUGACGGCCUUCGGGUUGUAAACCGCUUUCGCCUGUGACGAAGCGUGAGUGACGGUAAUGGGUAAAGAAGCACCGGCUAACUACG